This is a long non-coding RNA of Octopus sinensis (East Asian common octopus), 99 nucleotides long. RefSeq lists it as uncharacterized. The record is from RefSeq and is a predicted model, not a curated record. The transcript is spliced from 3 exons. NCBI's taxonomy places the organism in Eukaryota, Metazoa, Mollusca, Cephalopoda, Octopoda, Octopodidae.
CUUUGGUUCCAGACUUUCUAAGAUCUAGCCAAUGACCACACAAGUCACAGCCAGUUCCAGCAACAAUGCCAGACAACACCCCAUUACAUUUAGACUUAC